GGGUUAGGGUUGGAGUUAGGGUUAGUGUUGGAGCUAGGGUUAGGGUUGGGCUUGGAGCUAGGAUUUUUCUGAGUGCAAUGAACCAACUCCCGAGUCUCUAGGAUGUUCCUAAAAAAAUUUGAUUUUUUCCCAUAGGAAUGCAUGGGUUAGGGUUAGGGUUAGGGUUGGAGCUAGGGUUAGGGUUAGGGUUAGGGUUGGAGUUAGGGUUAGUGUUGGAGCUAGGGUUAGGGUUGGGCUUGGAGCUAGGAUUUUUCUGAGUGCACUGAACCAACUCCCGAGUCUCUAGGACAUUCCUAAAAAAAUUUGAUUUUUUCCCAUAGGAAUGCAUGGGUUAGGGUUAUGGUUAGGGUUAGGGUUGGAGCUAGGUUUAGGGUUAGGGUUAGGGUUGGAGUUAGGGUUAGUGUUGGAGCUAGGGUUAGGGUUGGGCUUGGAUCUAGGACUUUUCUGAGUGCAAUGAACCAACUCCCGAGUCUCUAGGACGUUCCCAAAAAAAAUUGAUUUUUUCCCAUAGGAAUGCAUGGGUUAGGGUUAGGGUUAGGGUUGGAGCUAGGGUUAGGGUUAGGGUUAGGGUUGGAGUUAGGGUUAGUGUUGGAGCUAGGGUUAGGGUUGGGCUUGGAGCUAGGAUUUUUCUGAGUGCACUGAACCAACUCCCGAGUCUCUAGGACAUUCCUAAAAAAAUUUGAUUUUUUCCCAUAGGAAUGCAUGGGUUAGGGUUAUGGUUAGGGUUAGGGUUGGAGCUAGGGUUAGGGUUAGGGUUAGGGUUGGAGUUAGGGUUAGUGUUGGAGCUAGGGUUAGGGUUGGGCUUGGAGCUAGGAUUUUUCUGAGUGCACUGAACCAACUCCCGAGUCUCUAGGACAUUCCUAAAAAAAUUUGAUUUUUUCCCUUAGGAAUGCAUGGGUUAGGGUUAUGGUUAGGGUUAGGGUUGGAGCUAGGGUUAGGGUUAGGGUUAGGGUUGGAGUUAGGGUUAGUGUUGGAGCUAGGGUUAGGGUUGGGCUUGGAGCUAGGAUUUUUCUGAGUGCACUGAACCAACUCCCGAGUCUCUAGGACAUUCCUAAAACAAUUUGAUUUUUUCCCAUAGGAAUGCAUGGGUUAGGGUUAUGGUUAGGGUUAGGGUUGGAGCUAGGGUUAGGGUUAGGGUUAGGGUUGGAGUUAGGGUUAGUGUUGGAGCUAGGGUUAGGGUUGGGCUUGGAGCUAGGAUUUUUCUGAGUGCACUGAACCAACUCCCGAGUCUCUAGGACAUUCCUAAAAAAAUUUGAUUUUUUCCCAUAGGAAUGCAUGGGUUAGGGUUAGGGUUAGGGUUGGAGCUAGGGUUAGGGUUAGGGUUAGGGUUGGAGUUAGGGUUAGUGUUGGAGCUAGGGUUAGGGUUGGGCUUGGAGCUAGGAUUUUUCUGAGUGCACUGAACCAACUCCCGAGUCUCUAGGACAUUCCUAAAAAAAUUUGAUUUUUUCCCAUAGGAAUGCAUGGGUUAGGGUUAUGGUUAGGGUUAGGGUUGGAGCUAGGUUUAGGGUUAGGGUUAGGGUUGGAGUUAGGGUUAGUGUUGGAGCUAGGGUUAGGGUUGGGCUUGGAUCUAGGACUUUUCUGAGUGCAAUGAACCAACUCCCGAGUCUCUAGGACGUUCCCUAAAAAAAUUGAUUUUUUCCCAUAGGAAUGCAUGGGUUAGGGUUAGGGUUAGGGUUGGAGCUAGGGUUAGGGUUGGGCUUGGAGCUAGGAUUUUUCUGAGUGCACUGAACCAACUCCCGAGUCUCUAGGACAUUCCUAAAAAAAUUUGAUUUUUUCCCAUAGGAAUGCAUGGGUUCGGGUUAUGGUUAGGGUUAGGGUUGGAGCUAGGGUUAGGGUUAGGGUUAGGGUUGGAGUUAGGGUUAGUGUUGGAGCUAGGGUUAGGGUUGGGCUUGGAGCUAGGAUUUUUCUGAGUGCACUGAACCAACUCCCGA
Non-coding RNA from Xyrichtys novacula (pearly razorfish), 1931 nucleotides. NCBI's taxonomy places the organism in Eukaryota, Metazoa, Chordata, Actinopteri, Labriformes, Labridae. The record is from the annotation of a GenBank genome assembly.